RNAcentral lists this ribosomal RNA (154 nucleotides) under uncultured bacterium. Its description in RNAcentral is "partial 16S ribosomal RNA". It matches the Rfam family "Bacterial small subunit ribosomal RNA", at positions 337 to 483 of the family's 1533-position model. The record is from RNAcentral.
UCCUACGGAAGGCAGCAGUAGGGAAUCUUCCACAAUGGGCGAAAGCCUGAUGGAGCAACGCCGCGUGAGUGAAGAAGGUUUUCGGAUCGUAAAGCUCUGUUGUUGGUGAAGAAGGAUAGAGGUAGUAACUGGCCUUUAUUUGACGGUAAUCAAC